GGUUCGGUAGCUUAUUUGGUAAAGCACUCGCCUAGCAUACAAGAGUCGUGGUUUCUAAUCCCACCUGAGCACA
This 73-nucleotide transfer RNA is filed under the name Aedes aegypti (yellow fever mosquito). RNAcentral's name for it is "partial tRNA-OTHER". It matches the Rfam family "tRNA". From Rfam's summary of the family: Transfer RNA (tRNA) molecules are approximately 80 nucleotides in length. Their secondary structure includes four short double-helical elements and three loops (D, anti-codon, and T loops). Lineage: Eukaryota; Metazoa; Arthropoda; Insecta; Diptera; Culicidae. The record is from RNAcentral.